GGGUCAGUAGGUUGGUCGUGCCACCGGUACGUACUGGUCUCACUGAUUCCUCCUUCCUGAAGAACCGUAAUGCCAUUAAUUUGGUGUUGCGGGAAAACAGGACUGUUACUUUGAAAAAAUUAGAGUGUUUAAAGCAAGCUAACGCUUGAAUACAUCAGCAUGGAAUAAUGAAAUAGGACGAUCGAUCCUAUUUUGUUGGUUUCUAGGAUUGACGUA
RNAcentral lists this ribosomal RNA (216 nucleotides) under Glomeromycotina sp. RNAcentral's name for it is "partial small subunit ribosomal RNA". The stretch from base 40 to 216 matches the Rfam family "Eukaryotic small subunit ribosomal RNA", at positions 686 to 864 of the family's 1831-position model. Lineage: Eukaryota; Fungi; Glomeromycota. The record is from RNAcentral.